This 207-nucleotide ribosomal RNA is filed under the name uncultured bacterium. RNAcentral describes it as "partial 16S ribosomal RNA". It matches the Rfam family "Bacterial small subunit ribosomal RNA", at positions 568 to 774 of the family's 1533-position model. The record is from RNAcentral.
CGCGUAGGUGGUUUGUUAAGCGAGAUGUGAAAGCCCCGGGCUUAACCUGGGAACGGCAUUUCGAACUGGCAAGCUAGAGUGUGGUAGAGGGUAGUGGAAUUUCCUGUGUAGCGGUGAAAUGCGUAGAUAUAGGAAGGAACACCAGUGGCGAAGGCGGCUACCUGGACCAACACUGACACUGAGGUGCGAAAGCGUGGGGAGCAAACA